Molecule: ribosomal RNA, 433 nt
Filed under: uncultured bacterium
Lineage: Bacteria
Description: partial 16S ribosomal RNA
Rfam family: Bacterial small subunit ribosomal RNA
Source: RNAcentral
AACGAACGCUGGCGGCAUGCCUAACACAUGCAAGUCGAACGAUCCCUUCGGGGAUAGUGGCGCACGGGUGCGUAACGCGUGGGAACCUGCCCUUAGGUUCGGAAUAACUCAGAGAAAUUUGAGCUAAUACCGGAUAAUGUCUUCGGACCAAAGAUUUAUCGCCUUUGGAUGGGCCCGCGUUGGAUUAGCUAGUUGGUGGGGUAAAGGCCUACCAAGGCGACGAUCCAUAGCUGGUCUGAGAGGAUGAUCAGCCACACUGGGACUGAGACACGGCCCAGACUCCUACGGGAUGCAGCAGUGGGGAAUAUUGGACAAUGGGCGAUAGCCUGAUCCAGCAAUGCCGCGUGAGUGAUGAAGGUCUUAGGGUUGUAAAGCUCUUUUACCCGGGAUGAUAAUGACAUUACCGGGAGAAUAAGCCCCGGCUAACUCCGUG